RNAcentral lists this ribosomal RNA (460 nucleotides) under uncultured bacterium. Its description in RNAcentral is "partial 16S ribosomal RNA". It matches the Rfam family "Bacterial small subunit ribosomal RNA", at positions 338 to 795 of the family's 1533-position model. The record is from RNAcentral.
CCUACGGGCGGCAGCAGUGAGGCAUAUUGGUCAAUGGACGAGAGUCUGAACCAGCCAAGUAGCGUGAAGGAUGACUGCCCUCUGGGUUGUAAACUUCUUUUAUAUGGGAAUAAAAUGUUCCACGUGUGGGAUUUUGUAUGUACCAUAUGAAUAAGGAUCGGCUAACUACGUGCCAGCAGCCGCGGUAAUACGGAGGAUCCGAGCGUUAUCCGGCUUUAUUGGGUUUAAAGGGAGCGUAGGUGGAUUGUUAAGUCAGUUGUGAAAGUUUGCGGCUCAACCGUAAAAUUGCAGUUGAAACUGGCAGUCUUGAGUACAGUAGAGGUGGGCGGAAUUCGUGGUGUAGCGGUGAAAUGCUUAGAUAUCACGAAGAACUCCGAUUGCGAAGGCAGUUCACUGGACUGCAACUGACACUGAGGCUCGAAAGUGUGGGUAUCAAACAGGAUUAGAGACCCGAGUAGUC